RNAcentral lists this ribosomal RNA (176 nucleotides) under uncultured Vibrio sp. RNAcentral describes it as "partial 16S ribosomal RNA". It matches the Rfam family "Bacterial small subunit ribosomal RNA", at positions 357 to 525 of the family's 1533-position model. The record is from RNAcentral. Lineage: Bacteria; Pseudomonadati; Pseudomonadota; Gammaproteobacteria; Vibrionales; Vibrionaceae.
GGGAAUAUUGCACAAUGGGCGCAAGCCUGAUGCAGCCAUGCCGCGUGUGUGAAGAAGGCCUUCGGGUUGUAAAGCACUUUCAGUCGUGAGGAAGGCGGUGUCGUUAAUAGCUGCUUCAUUUGACGUUAGCGACAGAAGAAGCACCGGCUAACUCCGUGCCAGCAGCCGCGGUAAUA